This 852-nucleotide ribosomal RNA is filed under the name Flavobacterium sp. 01xTSA12A_G06. RNAcentral describes it as "bacterial SSU rRNA". It matches the Rfam family "Bacterial small subunit ribosomal RNA", at positions 60 to 918 of the family's 1533-position model. The record is from RNAcentral. Lineage: Bacteria; Pseudomonadati; Bacteroidota; Flavobacteriia; Flavobacteriales; Flavobacteriaceae.
AGUCGAGGGGUAUGGUUCUUCGGAACCAGAGACCGGCGCACGGGUGCGUAACGCGUAUGCAAUCUGCCUUUUACAGAGGGAUAGCCCAGAGAAAUUUGGAUUAAUACCUCAUAGUAUAGUACAGCCGCAUGGCUGAACUAUUAAAGUCACAACGGUAAAAGAUGAGCAUGCGUCCCAUUAGCUGGUUGGUAAGGUAACGGCUUACCAAGGCGACGAUGGGUAGGGGUCCUGAGAGGGAGAUCCCCCACACUGGUACUGAGACACGGACCAGACUCCUACGGGAGGCAGCAGUGAGGAAUAUUGGACAAUGGGCGCAAGCCUGAUCCAGCCAUGCCGCGUGCAGGAUGACGGUCCUAUGGAUUGUAAACUGCUUUUAUACGAGAAGAAACACUGAUUCGUGAAUCAGCUUGACGGUAUCGUAAGAAUAAGGAUCGGCUAACUCCGUGCCAGCAGCCGCGGUAAUACGGAGGAUCCAAGCGUUAUCCGGAAUCAUUGGGUUUAAAGGGUCCGUAGGCGGUUUAGUAAGUCAGUGGUGAAAGCCCAUCGCUCAACGGUGGAACGGCCAUUGAUACUGCUGAACUUGAAUUAUUAGGAAGUAACUAGAAUAUGUAGUGUAGCGGUGAAAUGCUUAGAGAUUACAUGGAAUACCAAUUGCGAAGGCAGGUUACUACUAAUGGAUUGACGCUGAUGGACGAAAGCGUGGGUAGCGAACAGGAUUAGAUACCCUGGUAGUCCACGCCGUAAACGAUGGAUACUAGCUGUUGGAAGCAAUUUCAGUGGCUAAGCGAAAGUGAUAAGUAUCCCACCUGGGGAGUACGUUCGCAAGAAUGAAACUCAAAGGAAUUGACGGGG